Molecule: ribosomal RNA, 163 nt
Filed under: Astragalus commixtus
Lineage: Eukaryota; Viridiplantae; Streptophyta; Magnoliopsida; Fabales; Fabaceae
Description: 5.8 ribosomal RNA
Rfam family: 5.8S ribosomal RNA
About the family: 5.8S ribosomal RNA (5.8S rRNA) is a component of the large subunit of the eukaryotic ribosome. It is transcribed by RNA polymerase I as part of the 45S precursor that also contains 18S and 28S rRNA.
Source: RNAcentral
AGAAUGACUCUCGGCAACGGAUAUCUAGGCUCUUGCAUCGAUGAGAACGUAGCGAAAUGCGAUACUUGGUGUGAAUUGCAGAAUCCCGUGAACCAUCGAGUCUUUGAACGCAAGUUGCGCCCGAAGCCAUCAGGUUGAGGGCACGUCUGCCUGGGCGUCACAU